Molecule: ribosomal RNA, 346 nt
Filed under: uncultured rhodophyte
Lineage: Eukaryota; Rhodophyta
Description: SSU rRNA
Rfam family: Eukaryotic small subunit ribosomal RNA
Source: RNAcentral
GCGGUAAUUCCAGCUCUGUAAGCGUAUACCAAAGUUGUUGCAGUUAAAACGCUCGUAGUCGGACGUUGGCGGGUGUUGCAAGGCAGCUUCACGGCUGUUUUUUCCUUGCAUCAGCCGCCUUUGUGGAUGGGGGCUUGGUGGUGCUUCAUUGCCUCGCCAAGUCGCUGCCACCGUUUACUGUGAAAAAAUUAGAGUGUUCAAAGCGGGCGUUUGCCAUGAAUACAUUAGCAUGGAAUAAUAGAAUAGGACCUGGUCCUGUUUUGUUGGUUUGUGAGUAUCAGGUAAUGAUUAAGAGGGACGGUUGGGGGCAUUUGUAUUCCGGCGUCAGAGGUGAAAUUCUCGGAUU